RNAcentral lists this small RNA (169 nucleotides) under Romboutsia lituseburensis. Its description in RNAcentral is "T-box". Lineage: Bacteria; Bacillati; Bacillota; Clostridia; Peptostreptococcales; Peptostreptococcaceae. The record is from RNAcentral.
AUAAAAACUGUGAUGAAGAGGAGUAUAUAAAUACUACCAAAAGAGAUGAAGACUCAUAGGCUGAAAAGUCUUCUUGGAAUAGAUUUGUAGAAGGUAGCUUCGGAGUUUCUAAGCUGAACUAACAGUAAGCUUAGACGGUGUGAAUCGUUAAAAUCUAUUGAGAGCCAUA